GACGAACGCUGGCGGCGUGCCUAAUACAUGCAAGUAGAACGCUGAAGCUUGGUGCUUGCACCGAGCGGAUGAGUUGCGAACGGGUGAGUAACGCGUAGGUAACCUGCCUGGUAGCGGGGGAUAACUAUUGGAAACGAUAGCUAAUACCGCAUAAGAGUAGAUGUUGCAUGACAUUUGCUUAAAAGGUGCAAUUGCAUCACUACCAGAUGGACCUGCGUUGUAUUAGCUAGUUGGUGAGGUAACGGCUCACCAAGGCAACGAUACAUAGCCGACCUGAGAGGGUGAUCGGCCACACUGGGACUGAGACACGGCCCAGACUCCUACGGGAGGCAGCAGUAGGGAAUCUUCGGCAAUGGACGGAAGUCUGACCGAGCAACGCCGCGUGAGUGAAGAAGGUUUUCGGAUCGUAAAGCUCUGUUGUAAGAGAAGAAAGAGUGUGAGAGUGGAAAGUUCACACUGUGACGGUAUCUUACCAGAAAGGGACGGCUAACUACGUG
This 497-nucleotide ribosomal RNA is filed under the name uncultured bacterium. Its description in RNAcentral is "partial 16S ribosomal RNA". It matches the Rfam family "Bacterial small subunit ribosomal RNA", at positions 28 to 507 of the family's 1533-position model. The record is from RNAcentral.